ACCAACAUAACGCCACAAAAAGAUCGAAAUUCGAAUAUACGUAACCCGCGAAAAUUCAAAAUUCGCGAUACUUUUUGAACACACCUCGUAUGGAACAGAGUGGUAUUUCUUGAAUAUCCUUUCUAGAGAAACAAAAAUCUACUUGCGUAGUUAUUCUCUACUUUCUCAUAAUUCCUUCGCAAAGCAGUGUAUGUACACGAAGAAAUGGCGAGACUAAAGAGAUUUUUUUUUCACCCGACAACAUACAGUUGAUCGAUGAAUAAUUAACAUUGUUGAACGUGUCACAUGUAUAUAUAUAUAUAUAUAUCGAUGAUAGUAUUGUGUGACCAUUUAUUUUUUAACUAUUAAAACUAUAUGCAUGUAAAAUCAAAGAACAUAGGGAAAUGAAAGAAAUGAAUAAACAUUUUCCUCUUUAAAAUUGUUCUUGUCUCUGUUCAUUUUACUUAAGACAGCACGUAUAAGACUUGCGUAGUCUGUUGUCACACAAAUUCUUUCACGAAGCAUUACCUUACGAGAAAUAAACAUCUGUUGUAUUAUUGCCAUAGUGAAAUCGAUCGUUUACACCCCUUGCGAAAUAAAAGUAUAAAUUAUUUUCCUUUCACAGUGCUCUAACGGAACAUGGUAUCAUGUGAAUAUUCUGUUUUCAUGCAGAAUAUCUAUAAUAUGCUCAAAAUAUUUUUUAUACCAUCUCUAUAGAAUAUUAUUUUUUGUAUGUUGUCAGGAUAUGCUAAAGAUAUUAUAAAUAUACUUUGCUACUUGUACUACUUUUCGAUAUUAUUUGUUUUAUAUUUACUGUAAUUAUUGUAUUAUAUUGAUCAUUCCUAUUUGUAUAUUUAUUUAAUUUUAAACGAAUAAUAGGAAAGUUAUUCUAGAUGUUAUUCCGCAAUUUGUGAAAAUCAGUAAAAAAACUAUAAUUUUAUAUAGAUAUGUUUAUAUAAAUAAUAUGCUUUAAUUAUAUAUGUUUCAUCUUUUCGAUAACAUACUUAGAUCUAUCAUUUAUACACAUGUAUAACUAGAUAAUAAAAAUUUUUGGAAAUAUAGAUUUCAAUAUAUAUGUAUAUAUAAAUAUGAUAUAAAUAUAAUUUUUCUUGAGCUUAAUCAAAAGAAUAACAACAAAAUUUUGUUAAAACAAUAUAUAAAAUGUUUGUUGGAGCAACUGCAUCAUAUGAAUGAUGAGUUGACAAGAACAAAAUUAAUAUUAUAAAAAGAGUAUGAUAGUUUUGCGAAACGGUAUACGGUUGCGUUAUUAUAUAUAUAUAUAUAUAUAUGUAAGGCAAUUGCUUCUAUUGCAUGCAAUUUAUAUUAAAUAAGACAUAUGUCAAAAGUUAGGGCCGGUGGAGUGCCAAAAAGAAACAAAGUAAAAAAAAGAGCUUUUAUGAUACAAUAAUUGUACCUACUUUUUUUUUUUAUCUUAGUCACAAUUAUUUUUUAAGCACUUUUGAUAUAGGAAACAAACUUUUUUUAAGUUUUCUGUAUAAAAAUUCGCUCGACUUCAUAUUACGUUAAUAACUAUAUGCACAUAUUAUAUAUUUAUUAGAUCUUUGUUUCUGAAUGUAAUAAGCAUUACGUUUAAUGUGGUAAAAUUGUUCACAAAUUUUCUUUUCUCAACUAUUAAUUCAUUAUGAUGUAGAUACAACGCUUACAAGAUGAGGACCCGACAAUGAUCUCGCCGAUUUUAAAAUUUUAUAGAAAAACGAUUCUCAAGUAAGCAGCGUGGCGUAGGGCAUAAGGACGUCGACUGGUAUGUUUGGGAUCAUCCCAGGUUCCAUCCCCGCAGAUGCGACUUUUCUUAUGUUAUAUUUUUUAAUUGUUAUAUAUAAUUUUUUAUCCGUUUUUAAUUAUUUAAUAUAAAAUGUUAAUUUUAAAAAAUUAGGAAAUUUAAAAAUGCUUUUUUAUUAUUAAUUAAAUUAAAAUUUUUUAUGAUUUGCAGCGGUAAGCGCAGCGAGUCCGGAGGGUAAGACUAUGAUUAUUAUCUAUUAAUUAAUUAUUGCCUUUGUCUUAUAAUCUUUUAACAUUUUUGAAGAUGUCGUUUCAGUCGUGGAACUUUUGCACUUAUUAAUAUUUUACAAGCAGUACAUUUCUACUUAUUAUUAUCAACAGCUAGAAUUAGGAUCAAAACAAACCGACACAAUGUCUUUGUGUCUAUCCUAAUGUACUUUUCGUAUUACUCAUGUUAAAUGAUUGGUUCAUCAAUAAACAAUAAAUAAAUAAAUAAAUAUAUAAAUACUUAAA
Molecule: long non-coding RNA, 2232 nt
Organism: Solenopsis invicta (red fire ant)
Lineage: Eukaryota; Metazoa; Arthropoda; Insecta; Hymenoptera; Formicidae
Exons: 2
Source: RefSeq, a predicted model, not a curated record